CCUANGGGUGGCUGCAGUGGGGAAUUUUGGACAAUGGGCGCAAGCCUGAUCCAGCAAUGCCGCGUGAAGGAUGAAUGUCCUAUGGAUUGUAAACUUCUUUUAUGCAGGAAAAACAUCCCGGUCGUGAACCGGGACUGAUGGUACUGUAUGAAUAAGCAUCGGCUAACUCCGUGCCAGCAGCCGCGGUAAUACGGAGGAUGCAAGCGUUAUCCGGAUUCAUUGGGUUUAAAGGGUGCGCAGGCGGAAUGAUAAGUCAGUGGUGAAAUCUCCCGGCUCAACCGGGAAACUGCCAUUGAUACUGCCAUUCUUGAGUACAGUUGAAGUGGGCGGAAUGUGUCAUGUAGCGGUGAAAUGCUUAGAUAUGACACAGAACACCGAUAGCGAAGGCAGCUCACUAAGCUGUAACUGACGCUCAUGCACGAAAGCGUGGGGAUCAAACAGGAUUAGAUACCCCGNUANUC
This 461-nucleotide ribosomal RNA is filed under the name uncultured bacterium. Its description in RNAcentral is "bacterial SSU rRNA". It matches the Rfam family "Bacterial small subunit ribosomal RNA", at positions 338 to 795 of the family's 1533-position model. The record is from RNAcentral.